CCUACGGGAGGCAGCAGUAGGGAAUAUUGCUCAAUGGGGGAAACCCUGAAGCAGCAACGCCGCGUGGAGGAUGAAGGCUUUCGGAUUGUAAACUUCUUUUGUUAGAGAAGAUAAUGUGGGUAUCUAACGAAUAAGCACCGGCUAACACCGUGCCAGCAGCCGCGGUAAUACGGAGGGUGCAAGCGUUACUCGGAUUCACUGGGCGUAAAGCGCGCGUAGGCGGGAUAGCAAGUCAGAUGUGAAAUCCUAGGGCUUAACCCUGGAACUGCAUUUGAAACUGUUGUUCUAGAGUAUGGGAGAGGUAGGUGGAAUUCAUGGUGUAGGGGUAAAAUCCGUAGAGAUCAAGAGGAAUACUCAUUGCGAAGGCGACCUGCUAGAACAUAACUGACGCUGAUGCGCGAAAGCGUGGGGAGCAAACAGGAUUAGAUACCCUUGUAGUC
Molecule: ribosomal RNA, 440 nt
Filed under: uncultured bacterium
Lineage: Bacteria
Description: partial 16S ribosomal RNA
Rfam family: Bacterial small subunit ribosomal RNA
Source: RNAcentral